Molecule: non-coding RNA, 2979 nt
Organism: Tetranychus urticae (two-spotted spider mite)
Lineage: Eukaryota; Metazoa; Arthropoda; Arachnida; Trombidiformes; Tetranychidae
Source: RefSeq, a predicted model, not a curated record
CCUUUGGUCAAAUUUUCGUUUUAAUUGUGCCUCAUGAUUGUUUAUCUUUAUUUGAAUUUCAAUUUUACUCAGCUUUGAAUAUGUGUCUCUACAGUCGAAUUCUUUUACUCGGUGUAAAGUUAAGCCAAAAAUGUAUCAACUCAGCUUAUUUUUUCAAUUAUCUCGCUUAAGUUCGUUUUAAUCAUCGCCUACGUACUUUUAUGACUUGAUAAGGCAUUUGGAUGGAUUGAAUACGCUUAUUUGCGUCUAGUUUUUUUUUCUCACAAGGCCUAAAAAGAUUUGUAUUCGUCUCCCAUUAUCCGAAAGAUCAACGAAACUAUUGCCUUUGGGGUUAAGAUAAUUGUUUACCCUUCCAAUAUCCUAAUAUGCUUAUCGGUUAUUUGUUAAGCAUUAGCCACACCAUUGAGAAUGGAUGAAUAUUUCAUCUCAAUUGAGAAAUACUUCAAGGAAAAGAUAAGAAAUUGAAAGAUGUUGAUCGAUCAAAUUUCCGGCUUUUGGUCCGUUACAUCUGGAAAAGAAUGAGCUCCAGUCUCAGUCAUUCGUCUUUCCUCCAAACGAUUACGUUUCCUACGAGUGUUUGGCGUUUCGGAUAACAUGCGUUUCAAUUUUGGGCCUGUUCUUGAGCUUUUCUUCAUAGUUAAACUAGCCGAUAAACCAGGAGAUUUUAUCCUUGGACCCGGGACCGAUAAAGCUGUACCCAGAGCUUGUUUUUUACGCACUUGAACCAUUCCGUACAUGACUUCAGCCAGACUAUUCUGUGUGUUAUUUUGCUUGCCAAAUGAUUUUGAUCUCUCAAUCUUUUUACCCGUUACAUAAAAGGUUUCCAUUUCACCUUUACCCUUUACUGGAAUCACACCUCGAUACUGAACACGAUAACCUUCAUCUUCCAGAAUUUCAGCUGCGGCCCUUGGAACCUGAAAAUAGAGAACAUAUUUUUGAUAAAUUUAGCUUUUCAAUCAUAUGCAGCAAUUAGAGUCAAACAAUUACUUGAAUAUGAUCGAGUUGACCAGUUGAAUCCAUUCUGCUAGCUUCGUUAACUGUAUUACCCCAAAUAUCAAAGACUGGCUUUUUAGCACCGAUAACACCUCCAACUAAAGGACCAAAGCUGAUUCCUGCAAGGUAAUAAAAUACGAAAAUUCUGAUAACAAGUAAAGCUGCAAUCAAGUGUUAUUCAGUAAAAAGCUGAAUAAAAUAUUUACAGUGGUGAACAUUAAUUUCGCAUUACCAUCAACCAGAUUUACUAUCAAAACCAGCUAAUUAUUUGACACAAAUAGAUCAAAAACAAUUGGAAGGAUUGAAAUGCAACCAAUAUCGGAUCAAACAAAUAUCUAAAGCAGGAGAACCCGGGUUGGAACAUAGAUGUCAAUUAUAAGCAAGAAGAUGAUGAUGACCGUAAUCAAGAUUUCAGCAUAGAAGGAUAGGAACAAAAAUUUAAGCUAGAAUUUCAAAUUGAAAAUUAACUUCGAUUUGAUCAUCAUAACUAAUGGUCAUUAUAAUACUUAUCAUAGAUAUUACCAUUAGCUAUUUCAUUUCACCUUUCACUUGUUCAACAUAUCGUAUGUUUCUGAUGAUUCGGUUUUUGAAUAGUAUUAUGCCAAGAAUGAUGUUAGGAGAAAAGUAUUUAAGUAUUUUUCUCAUCAUUAUUGGCAUUAUUUUAUAUACUAGCGUAGCUAUUGAUCAGCAUUUUUAUUAGAAUCAUUGGUAACAAGAUUGAGUAAAUUACAUUCAAAAGCAGAAAAAAUUCCCUCACAUAUGAAAUUAAGAAAAGUUUGAGCUUACAGAAACAUCGUUAAUGUUGAUUACAAGUAAAGUGUUAUUCAGUAGAUGUUAUUGUUUAAUUACUUCUUAGCUGAAGUUACAAUAAGCUUAGUCAGUAUAUUGACUAUAACAUCCAAUACCUUUAUCCAUUCCUUAUUAUCCAUAUUAUUAACAUGAUAAACACCAACAUCAUCAUUCUCAUCAUCAUCAAUGUUUACAUUCAAAUCGAGAUCAAUAAUAACAUUAUAAUGAAGCCAGAGUAAAAUGACAGUAAAUACAACAAAUAAAGGCAACAACAUUCACCAACAUCAUCAUCAGGAAUAACAAUAAAAAAACAACCAGGACAAACCUUGAACAGCCAGGACAAAAGAUCAAUCAUCACCAGGAGAUUGAAAUUAAAUUAAACAAAUUGACCCAUUAUAACCCAAAAAUAAGCGAUGAACAAAAGACAAAAGUAAACCAUUGAAAAGGUCAACGGAAAAGGUUUUCAAGCUUUAUUCAAGUCAAAAGAUUCCAUGAGACUCCAUUACAUUAUCCCCGCCAUCAUCAUCACCCUUAACCUUGCCAAAAAUAAUUACCUCAUGAAAUCCAAAAGAGACUGGAGUAAAAACAUUCCUUAACAUAUGACUUGGUAAAGGUUAAGAAAAGGUUAAGGAAGAAAUGUUUAUCUGUUUUGGAAAUUAAAUUCAAGUCAAGGUGAAAAUGAUGUCAAGACUUGUCUUCAUCUUUCCAUCAUUUCAAUAAUAACCUUUGAAUUUGAAAAUUUGAUUGAGAAGACGAGAUGGUUAAAAGAUGUAAUUGCAUUGAAAGUAAUUCAAUUAAUUUAAGUUGAAUUAAAUCUUUCAAUAGUAAACUAAUCAUAAGCUUCAUCAAAUUUAACUGUUCAACUGGAUAAUGUUUAACCAGAAAACCUCAAUUUAACAGUGCAUGUUAAACAAUUUGUUAAACAAUCUGGUUCAUAAAGCAGCUUGUGUAACAACAAGAACCCAAAACCAAUAUGUAUUACAGCCUAAAGAAACUAACCAAUGUUUAAUUUUGCCAACAAUCAGUUCCAACAGUUUAAUGUUAACCAACAAUACCAUUUGGUUUUUUUCAUUUUAAUCAUUUAAUCCAUCUAAAUAAUCAACUUGCUAUUAACCUGAAUCAAAUUGUGAGCUUGACAAAACAAAAUAACACAAAAUAAAAAUCAAAAUGAUGCCAAUAAACAUAAUGUUAACAUAA